Molecule: ribosomal RNA, 1458 nt
Filed under: Staphylococcus aureus
Lineage: Bacteria; Bacillati; Bacillota; Bacilli; Caryophanales; Staphylococcaceae
Also listed under: 1 other name
Description: bacterial SSU rRNA
Rfam family: Bacterial small subunit ribosomal RNA
Source: RNAcentral
UCUGAUGUUAGCGGCGGACGGGUGAGUAACACGUGGAUAACCUACCUAUAAGACUGGGAUAACUUCGGGAAACCGGAGCUAAUACCGGAUAAUAUUUUGAACCGCAUGGUUCAAAAGUGAAAGACGGUCUUGCUGUCACUUAUAGAUGGAUCCGCGCUGCAUUAGCUAGUUGGUAAGGUAACGGCUUACCAAGGCAACGAUGCAUAGCCGACCUGAGAGGGUGAUCGGCCACACUGGAACUGAGACACGGUCCAGACUCCUACGGGAGGCAGCAGUAGGGAAUCUUCCGCAAUGGGCGAAAGCCUGACGGAGCAACGCCGCGUGAGUGAUGAAGGUCUUCGGAUCGUAAAACUCUGUUAUUAGGGAAGAACAUAUGUGUAAGUAACUGUGCACAUCUUGACGGUACCUAAUCAGAAAGCCACGGCUAACUACGUGCCAGCAGCCGCGGUAAUACGUAGGUGGCAAGCGUUAUCCGGAAUUAUUGGGCGUAAAGCGCGCGUAGGCGGUUUUUUAAGUCUGAUGUGAAAGCCCACGGCUCAACCGUGGAGGGUCAUUGGAAACUGGAAAACUUGAGUGCAGAAGAGGAAAGUGGAAUUCCAUGUGUAGCGGUGAAAUGCGCAGAGAUAUGGAGGAACACCAGUGGCGAAGGCGACUUUCUGGUCUGUAACUGACGCUGAUGUGCGAAAGCGUGGGGAUCAAACAGGAUUAGAUACCCUGGUAGUCCACGCCGUAAACGAUGAGUGCUAAGUGUUAGGGGGUUUCCGCCCCUUAGUGCUGCAGCUAACGCAUUAAGCACUCCGCCUGGGGAGUACGACCGCAAGGUUGAAACUCAAAGGAAUUGACGGGGACCCGCACAAGCGGUGGAGCAUGUGGUUUAAUUCGAAGCAACGCGAAGAACCUUACCAAAUCUUGACAUCCUUUGACAACUCUAGAGAUAGAGCCUUCCCCUUCGGGGGACAAAGUGACAGGUGGUGCAUGGUUGUCGUCAGCUCGUGUCGUGAGAUGUUGGGUUAAGUCCCGCAACGAGCGCAACCCUUAAGCUUAGUUGCCAUCAUUAAGUUGGGCACUCUAAGUUGACUGCCGGUGACAAACCGGAGGAAGGUGGGGAUGACGUCAAAUCAUCAUGCCCCUUAUGAUUUGGGCUACACACGUGCUACAAUGGACAAUACAAAGGGCAGCGAAACCGCGAGGUCAAGCAAAUCCCAUAAAGUUGUUCUCAGUUCGGAUUGUAGUCUGCAACUCGACUACAUGAAGCUGGAAUCGCUAGUAAUCGUAGAUCAGCAUGCUACGGUGAAUACGUUCCCGGGUCUUGUACACACCGCCCGUCACACCACGAGAGUUUGUAACACCCGAAGCCGGUGGAGUAACCUUUUAGGAGCUAGCCGUCGAAGGUGGGACAAAUGAUUGGGGUGAAGUCGUAACAAGGUAGCCGUAUCGGAAGGUGCGGCUGGAUCACCU